This 467-nucleotide ribosomal RNA is filed under the name uncultured bacterium. RNAcentral's name for it is "bacterial SSU rRNA". It matches the Rfam family "Bacterial small subunit ribosomal RNA", at positions 355 to 825 of the family's 1533-position model. The record is from RNAcentral.
UCGGGAAUUUUGGGCAAUGGGCGCAAGCCUGAUCCAGCCAUGCCGCGUGCAGGAUGACGGUCCUAUGGAUUGUAAACUGCUUUUGUACAGGAAGAAACAGUUCUACGUGUAGAACCUUGACGGUACUGUAAGAAUAAGGAUCGGCUAACUCCGUGCCAGCAGCCGCGGUAAUACGGAGGAUCCAAGCGUUAUCCGGAAUCAUUGGGUUUAAAGGGUCCGUAGGCGGUUAGAUAAGUCAGUGGUGAAAGCCCAUCGCUCAACGGUGGAACGGCCAUUGAUACUGUCUGACUUGAAUUAUUAGGAAGUAACUAGAAUAUGUAGUGUAGCGGUGAAAUGCUUAGAGAUUACAUGGAAUACCAAUUGCGAAGGCAGGUUACUACUAAUGGAUUGACGCUGAUGGACGAAAGCGUGGGUAGCGAACAGGAUUAGAUACCCGCGUAGUCCCUGAGCGGGCUGGCAAGGCGCAU